RNAcentral lists this transfer RNA (74 nucleotides) under Desulfurococcales archaeon ex4484_58. Its description in RNAcentral is "tRNA-Met". It matches the Rfam family "tRNA". Rfam says of the family: Transfer RNA (tRNA) molecules are approximately 80 nucleotides in length. Their secondary structure includes four short double-helical elements and three loops (D, anti-codon, and T loops). RNAcentral also lists the same sequence under 4 other names. The record is from RNAcentral. Lineage: Archaea; Thermoproteati; Thermoproteota; Thermoprotei; Desulfurococcales.
GGGCCCGUAGCUCAGCCAGGUAGAGCGCCCGGCUCAUAACCGGGUGGUCGGGGGUUCAAAUCCCCCCGGGCCCA